Molecule: long non-coding RNA, 902 nt
Organism: Medicago truncatula (barrel medic)
Lineage: Eukaryota; Viridiplantae; Streptophyta; Magnoliopsida; Fabales; Fabaceae
Exons: 5
Source: RefSeq, a predicted model, not a curated record
CAAAACUUCAAUCUUUUUUCCAAACCUUCUCCAAGCUUCCAAACCAUCCCUACCAAAACCUAAUCUUUUCACGAUUCAACUCGUAAAUCCACAGAAAGCUCAACUUCGAUUCCUUCCUUCAAUCUUCGAUUACUGAAUCUGCAAACCAUCUUUUUCAAAUUCGAUUCCUUACUUCAAUCUUCGAUCCCCUCAACAAUCUAUAUUCAUAAUCUUCAACCGAUUUCAGAAUCGAUUUCCACAAACACCCAAAUCGAUUCCCUCAAACCCGCAAACACCCAAACCCAAACCCAUCACAUUCCAUCUUUGUAUUAUUUCAUAUGUGGUCCCUAUCCCUAUCGAACUCUUCUCUUGACAUGAAAAACUGAGGUUUGUGAAAAGAAACAAGCAGAUCUAUUGUUAUUUGAGGAGGUUUGCUGCCAAAUCAGGAGGAUCUAGAGCUGUGACCCAUCCCUGUUAUUUGCAAUGCCAAAGUCCAGGAGGAUAAAGAAUUUUGUUAAAGUAUCAUAUGAGAGCUCUUCACAUGGUGCAUCUUUCCCCAAUCUAACUUCCCCACGACAUCCACAAGAAGAGGUUCUAAGUUCACAUCGUGGAGCAAAGGAAAAGUGGUCAGAUAUGCCAGCUGAUUAUUUUGAGACACAAUGGAAAGACCUCUUUGAGGCAUAUGCUAUUAUUUCAAAAGCAUCAAGCUCAACUAAUCAGUUGAAGGAGAGCAUAAAAUUAGGGAAAUGAGGAGGGCCACACAUACAUGGAAGAGAUCAGAGAUAAACUCUACAACAUAAUUAAAGAGCUUAAGUUUAUUUUAUAAACGUUCAUCAGGUUGCUGGACUGUGUUACACAUUGUAAUAUGACAAUUUAUGUAUAAAAAUAAUUUAUACUAGUUCUAAUAAUUGUUAUUUAGGUGA